Molecule: ribosomal RNA, 1027 nt
Filed under: Hyperolius cinereus (ashy reed frog)
Lineage: Eukaryota; Metazoa; Chordata; Amphibia; Anura; Hyperoliidae
Description: partial 16S ribosomal RNA
Rfam family: Bacterial large subunit ribosomal RNA (bases 1-566)
Source: RNAcentral
ACGGCCGCGGUAUCUUAACCGUGCAAAGGUAGCAUAAUCAAUUGUCCUUUAAAUUAGGACUAGUAUGAACGGCAUCACGAGGGUUUAACUGUCUCCCCCUUUUAAUCAAUGAAACUAAUUUUCCCGUGAAGAAGCGGGAAUGUAAUUAUAAGACGAGAAGACCCCAUGGAGCUUUAAACUUAACAUCACUUAUUAAAUAAUAAAACACACCACAUAAUAAGAGUGCUUUAUAGUUUUUGGUUGGGGCGACCCUGGAGAAUAACAAAUCCUCCAGAUUGAAAUGAAUAACUAACCUUAUACAAGAACCACAAUUCAAAUAAACAAAAAUUUGACAAUACUGACCCAGAAUAAACUGACCAGUGAACCAAGUUACCCUGGGGAUAACAGCGCAAUCCAUUUUAAGAGCCCUUAUCGACAAAUGGGUUUACGACCUCGAUGUUGGAUCAGGGUAUCCAAGCAGCGCAGCCGUUGCUAGUGGUUCGUUUGUUCAACGANNNNNNNNNNNNNNNNNNNNNNNNNNNNNNNNCGGCCGCGGUAUCUUAACCGUGCAAAGGUAGCAUAAUCAAUUGUCCUUUAAAUUAGGACUAGUAUGAACGGCAUCACGAGGGUUUAACUGUCUCCCCCUUUUAAUCAAUGAAACUAAUUUUCCCGUGAAGAAGCGGGAAUGUAAUUAUAAGACGAGAAGACCCCAUGGAGCUUUAAACUUAACAUCACUUAUUAAAUAAUAAAACACACCACAUAAUAAGAGUGCUUUAUAGUUUUUGGUUGGGGCGACCCUGGAGAAUAACAAAUCCUCCAGAUUGAAAUGAAUAACUAACCUUAUACAAGAACCACAAUUCAAACAAACAAAAAUUUGACAAUACUGACCCAGAAUAAACUGACCAGUGAACCAAGUUACCCUGGGGAUAACAGCGCAAUCCAUUUUAAGAGCCCUUAUCGACAAAUGGGUUUACGACCUCGAUGUUGGAUCAGGGUAUCCAAGCAGCGCAGCCGUUGCUAGUGGUUCGUUUGUUCAACGAUUAAUUAA